Actinia tenebrosa (Australian red waratah sea anemone) is the source of this 452-nucleotide long non-coding RNA. RefSeq lists it as uncharacterized. The record is from RefSeq and is a predicted model, not a curated record. Lineage: Eukaryota; Metazoa; Cnidaria; Anthozoa; Actiniaria; Actiniidae.
AAAACAGUUUUAGUACUACUCUGAUCAUUCGACUCGACACAGUUUGGCCCGUUCUCUCGAUCAUCGUCAUGAAUCGCCUGGCUUGUCUUCUGUUUCUCGUCUUUACCAUCAACAGUGUUCUACAUGUUACAACUGGCUAUAAAACGGUUUGUUGUAACACAGCUCAAUGCAGAUGGACUGUGUGUUUUAAGCCUGGCAGAGAUACUCCGGACAACAAUGACGAUAACAGAUCUAAUCAACUAAAGUGGCAUGAAAACAUGUCGUGCGAAGAGGCAAAAGCAGCAUUUUGUAAUAAAUGACGUCACAGUUGCCAUGACAACCUUCCAGAAGUAACUAUGGUUACGAAUACGAAAAAAAUGGUGAAAUUCAGAAAAUUUAACGCAAUAUUAACUUCAUAGAUAAACUGACUACUAAGUCAAUAAUCAUCUAAAAAUAAAAAUUGCUUUACCCAA